GACGAACGCUGGCGGCGUGCUUAACACAUGCAAGUCGAACGGUCAACGAGGGAGCUUGCUCCUCCCGGAUCAGUGGCGAACGGGUGAGUAACACGUGAGCAAUCUGCCCCUAACACUGGGAUAAGCGUUGGAAACGACGUCUAAUACCGGAUACGACGCGGGACGGCAUCCUCUCCGCGUGGAAAGAACUCCGGCUCGGGAUGAUCUCUCGGGCUAUCCUCUUGUUGGUGAGGUAACGGCUCACCAAGGCCACGACGGAUAGCCGGCCCGAGAGGGUAACCGGCCACCCGGGGACUGAGACACGGCCCAGAAGCCAACGGGAGGCAGAAGUGGGGAAUAUGGCACAGUGGGCGCAAGCCUGAGGCAGCAACGCCGCGUGAGGGACGACGGCCUUCGGGGUGUAAACCUCUUUUAGCAGGGAAGAAGCGAAAGUGACGGUACCUGCAGAAAAAGCACCGGCUAACUACGUG
RNAcentral lists this ribosomal RNA (470 nucleotides) under uncultured bacterium. RNAcentral's name for it is "partial 16S ribosomal RNA". It matches the Rfam family "Bacterial small subunit ribosomal RNA", at positions 28 to 507 of the family's 1533-position model. The record is from RNAcentral.